UGGGGAAUAUUGCGCAAUGGGGGAAACCCUGACGCAGCAACGCCGCGUGAAGGAUGAAGGUUUUCGGAUUGUAAACUUCUUUGACGAGGGACGAAAAAAAUGACGGUACCUCGAAAACAAGCCACGGCUAACUACGUGCCAGCAGCCGCGGUAAUACGUAGGUGGCAAGCGUUGUCCGGAUUUCCUGGGUGUAAAGGGCGAGUAGGCGGGAUUGCAAGUCAGAGGUGAAAUCGAUCGGCUUAACUGAUAGCGUGCAUUUGAAACGGCGGUUCUUGAGUGAUGGAGAGGCAGGCGGAAUUCCGAGUGUAGCGGUGAAAUGCGUAGAUAUUAGGAGGAACACCAGUGGCGAAGGCGGCCUGCUGGACAUUAACUGACGCUGAGGCGCGAAAGCGUGGGGAGCAAACA
Molecule: ribosomal RNA, 405 nt
Filed under: uncultured prokaryote
Description: bacterial SSU rRNA
Rfam family: Bacterial small subunit ribosomal RNA
Source: RNAcentral